Molecule: transfer RNA, 538 nt
Filed under: uncultured Prochlorococcus sp.
Lineage: Bacteria; Bacillati; Cyanobacteriota; Cyanophyceae; Synechococcales; Prochlorococcaceae
Description: partial 16S-23S ribosomal RNA intergenic spacer
Rfam family: tRNA (bases 209-281)
Source: RNAcentral
CAGGGAGACAACAAAAUGUUUAAUAUUAUUUUGUCACCUUAGGUCGAUCGGUAUCUCACGUUCUCAAUUAUAUUGAGGAUUUCAUUUCCUAAGUUUUUCUAGGUCACACCCAUUUUUUUCCUGGGCCAUUAGCUCAGGUGGUUAGAGCGCACCCCUGAUAAGGGUGAGGUCCCUGGUUCAAGUCCAGGAUGGCCCAUAUCUCUAUGUUGGGGGUAUAGCUCAGUUGGUAGAGCGCCUGCUUUGCAAGCAGGAUGUCAGCGGUUCGAGUCCGCUUACCUCCACUGAUUACCACCUCUUCCAUAAUCUGUAGAAAGGAAAAUUUUUGAGUUGUGAUCAUAUUUCUGAACGAAUCUAGCUUCCUAAUUAAGCCAUUAAGAUGCUGGAUUCAUUGAAUUAAUUUCAUUGUUUUCAGAGAACCUUGACAACUGCAUAGAUUAUUUUUAAAGACAAUAAGCAUCUUUAAUGAUGCAGAUUUAUUAUUUGUGCAAAUGCAUUAAUAACAAUUCUAUUAAGCUGAUGCUUCAAUUUUGAAGUUAUU